Molecule: RNA transcript, 2643 nt
Organism: Panicum virgatum (switchgrass)
Lineage: Eukaryota; Viridiplantae; Streptophyta; Magnoliopsida; Poales; Poaceae
Gene name: protein MICRORCHIDIA 2-like
Exons: 22
Source: RefSeq, a predicted model, not a curated record
ACCCAAGCCGCCAUCCGCCGCCCGAGCAGGCUCCCCGAGCGGCCAACGCACCGCCGCCCGUAGGUGGCCUCCACGCUGCGCCCCUCAUGCUCGCCGCCCGGCAGCCCGCGCACUGCCACUGGUUGACGAGCCGUGCCCUCGCCGGCUCGCCGCCCUCGGCCUACCGCGCGGCCGCCCGCCGCUCGCGGCCUUGCCCCUCGCCCAGCGCGGCAGCCGGCGGCCCUCCGCGCCUCACGUCCCUCUUUUUCGGGUGGAUUUCGGGUAGUACCAAUGCCGGUAGCUAUGACCGGCGGCUCAAGCGGCGGCGGAGGGGGUCGAGUCCUUGAUUGCCGCAGUUUCUGGAAGGCCGGCGCGUACGAGGCCCCCGCCGCCCCCUCCCACGAGUUCCAAGAUGCCCUAGAGACAGGGGACUUCGACCGCGCCCGCGUGCACCCUAAGUUCCUCCACACCAACGCGACUUCCCACAAGUGGGCUUUCGGAGCUAUAGCUGAACUUCUUGACAAUGCAGUGGAUGAGAUAAACAAUGGUGCAACGUUCAUAAAAGUGGAUAAAAGCAUCAAUUCGAAAGACAAUAGCCCAAUGCUAGUUUUCCAAGAUAAUGGAGGAGGUAUGGAUCCUGAAGGUGUUCGUCGAUGCAUGAGUUUAGGAUUCUCAACCAAGAAAUCUAAGAACACUAUUGGCCAGUAUGGAAAUGGCUUUAAGACAAGCACAAUGAGACUUGGUGCAGAUGCGAUUGUUUUUACUCAUGCAAUCCGUGGAAGUCUGUUCUCCUGCAGUAAUGUUACAUUGAGUAUAGGUUUGCUCUCUUACACUUUUUUGAGGAGAACAAUGAAGGAUGACAUAGUUGUCCCAAUGCUCGAUUUUAAACUCCAAGAUGGGGACAUUGUACCUUUGGUGUAUGGUUCACAGGGUGAUUGGGAUAGUAGCUUGAAGAUAAUACUUGAUUGGUCUCCUUUUUCUUCAAAGGAAGAACUUCUGCAGCAGUUUCAGGAUGUUGGUAGCCAUGGAACUAAAGUGUUAGUGUAUAAUUUGUGGAUGAAUGAUGAUGGCCUUUUGGAACUUGACUUCGAGGAUGACGAUGAGGACAUAUUGCUUAGAGAUCAAGGUAGUGCAAGUGGGGGAGCCUCAAAGGGCCAGAAAGAAAUUGUUCAGCAACAUAUAUCCCACAGACUCAGAUUUUCAUUGCGAGCUUAUACCUCCAUCCUUUACCUCAAGAAGUUUGAUAAUUUCCGAAUUAUAUUAAGAGGAAAACCUGUUGAACAGAUAAGGAUCACUGAUGAAUUGAAGUUUAAGAAAGUUGUCACUUACAAACCUCAUGCUGCACAUGAUUCCCAAGUGGUCUCAGUGAAAGUUGAUGUUGGCUUUGCAAAGGAAGCCCCUAUUCUGGGCAUUUUUGGGAUGAAUGUCUACAACAAAAACCGUCUUAUAAUGCCCUUCUGGAAGGUCCUUCAGGAGGGAUCUAGUAGAGGGAGAAGUGUAGUUGGUGUACUUGAGGCAAAUUUUAUUGAGCCAGCACACGACAAACAAGAUUUUGAGAGGACUCCACUAUUUAAUCGGCUAGAAACAAAACUUAGACAAAUUAUUGUUGAUUUCUGGAAAGAAAAGUGUCAUCUGAUUGGUUAUCAGCCAAUGGAUCCACAUUUAAGAUCCCAGUAUAAGGCCACCCUCAAAGAUUCAGGUGGUCCAGCUCAGGUUCACCAUAAAGCUUCCAGUGCCCGGAGGACUAGAGGGCUGUCGUCAAAUUUGCUACCAGAGACAUAUGACGACAUAGCAGCUGUUGGGUUGGCAAAUAAUGGUUCUCAUUUGCAGUCAUCUGGACAAGCAGAAGAAAACAAUAUGGAGUCAGAAGGCUUGGAUGAGGAUCUGGUAGAGUUUGGCUCUGGUGUUCUCGAUCCCAAUUUUAUUGAGAACUUGAGUGAAGAAAACAUUGCGCUGUUUUCAAGGCGUGAAGAGCUUCGACAACGAGAUACACAGUUGAAGCGGAAGAUUGGGGACCUGGAGCAUGAACUGGAGGAAACAAAAAGGAAGUGUGGUCAGCUUGCUGCGGAGCUGAAGGUGCGGAAGAAUCAGCUGAAUCUUCCUUCCAUGUGAAGUUCUCAAAGAAGAUGGGCGUCAUCACCGACCUCGACGAAGGCAACAUCUCCACAUCUAUCGACGAACUCAGCGAUGAGGAGCGCCAAGAGUACUUGGUGGCCAGGGAGCACUUCAAAGCACAAUUCUUGAAGGGAUUCAAAAAAAUCAGCAAGGCCAGGUCACGAGGGUUCAAGACUUCGUGAUGCCCUCCUUCACGCUCAAGAAUAAGCAAGUCGAGGUAAUAAGCAAUGGCAUAUUUAGGACUGAGGACACAUGACAAGAACCAAUUCUAACAACGAACUGGAAGGAGUUGAGAAUUAAGUGCUGAUGAAACUAUUAUUUUGGUUAGUACAGAAGUAGGCUGACUAGUUGAGCUGAAAAAAGGUGUGAGAUGUAAAUUAAUCAAGUGUAACAGAAUGGUUAUGUAAAUUUUGACGACUGAUUCCUACUGUUAACUUCCAUUGCACGAUGUUAGUAAGGCCUAUGUUCCAACCUUUUGAACAUCAGGUCCAACUAAAAUCAGCUGAUGAGCAAUUCAGAGUUACUUGAUAGAAGGAAUUCUCAGCCAUA